Long non-coding RNA from Drosophila pseudoobscura, 766 nucleotides. RefSeq lists it as uncharacterized. The transcript is spliced from 2 exons. Lineage: Eukaryota; Metazoa; Arthropoda; Insecta; Diptera; Drosophilidae. The record is from RefSeq and is a predicted model, not a curated record.
AUCACUUAACUGGCGACAGCGAUUGUGAGGCGUCCAAACACGAUCUUUGGUGCAUCUUACUCGAUAUAUAGACAGCAGAGUGCGUUUGAAUCGAUUUAUUCUCGUGAGAUUUGAGCUGUGAACGAGACAAGCCGAUAGCAGAACAAUGAUGCAACACAACCAAAUUAAACAAGCUUUCAUCUUGCUUUAUGCAGCUAGAAAGCUAAAGAGAUUCGCAAAUGAAACAGCCACUUCCAACCAUAAUAAUUCCCAUUCCCCGCCUGAAAAUUUCAAUUUUCCAUCGACUUAAGCCAGUUCGAAAUAGUAGUAGGCUUAGUCACUUGUCGGUUACAACAAAAAUCUAGAGGAGCUGCAAAAAGAUAGUCUUCGUGGCGUGCGUUUCAUACGAUUGAAAUUUUGAAAGUCAUUGUUACGGAUAAUUUCCUGGCAUUUAUUUCAUUUCGAAAGUGUAUCAAUUUGGACCAAAAAAGCAGCAACAAAAUGUUCAAACUCCUCAAGUAAUAAAUCUCCGGGACUGUCAGCUCAACGACACCGUGUGAGUGCCAGUGUGCGUAUCUGGUUGACCAACUUCAACGCCCACCCGUCGGUCUGGUCUGGUCUGGCUAUGGCCCGGCCUGGUCCGCCUGCUCCGGCCUGCUCUGACGGGGCUGACAUGACAAGCGUCUCGAAGCCAAGUGAAUGUAAGCCGCUAGUGCUAGGAUUAUUUACAUUUAUUUUGAAACUCUUUUAAUAAAGUGCGUCUCCAAUCACCGAGCAAUCCUCAGGA